UUGAAGGGCGAUUGUAAUUACAUUGAUGGGAACACUUACUAAUAUGUAAAAUAUCUUUAACUAACUGUAGGGUUCUUCAUUUUGGUGGGUACCGGUUUUUGUGAUGAAGGAAAGUUAUCCUGAAAAUACUAAUGAAUCUACAGUCAGCCUGCACUGUUAGUCGCUAGUCUGAUUCCCCAGACUAGUGAAAUUUAUUUUGACUAGUAAAUGUUUUGCAAAACUUUGUUUACAGGCAUAAGCAUGAUAAUACAAAUGUCUGAAUAUUUGUCUUUGGACAAGAAGUUAGAAAAGAUUUUGGUGCAGGGUAUAGACUGUACAUAACUUCUAGUUAAGUUAUAUUUAAGUUAUAAUUUAAAUUAUAAAUGAGUGAUCAGGCUUAUUAAAAAAUAUCUUAAGAUUCAAAAUAC
RNAcentral lists this long non-coding RNA (407 nucleotides) under Mytilus galloprovincialis (Mediterranean mussel). The record is from RNAcentral. Lineage: Eukaryota; Metazoa; Mollusca; Bivalvia; Mytilida; Mytilidae.